CAUUCUUUCCGCAUUGGCGCUGCGACGGAGGCAUCUCGGCUGGGUAUGCCAAAUUGGGAUAUGCGGAGGAUAGGAAGGUGGGAUUCUAGGAGAUUUGUUCCUGGUUCGCUGGUUUGCUCCGUUGAUUGUUUUUUCCUUCUCGGGGCGGAUGAUUGAGCACUCAAUGGUGGUAGUUCGGUGGUUCUGCCCCGGGAGGCAUGAAGUGGG
This is a non-coding RNA of Pelobates cultripes (western spadefoot toad), 207 nucleotides long. Lineage: Eukaryota; Metazoa; Chordata; Amphibia; Anura; Pelobatidae. The record is from the annotation of a GenBank genome assembly.